UACGUAGGGGGCAAGCGUUGUCCGGAUUUAUUGGGCGUAAAGAGCGUGUAGGCGGCUUGGUAGGUCCGCUGUGAAAACUCGAGGCUCAACCUCGAGAUGUCGGCGGAAACCACUUGGCUAGAGUCCGGAAGAGGAGAGUGGAAUUCCCGGUGUAGCGGUGAAAUGCGCAGAUAUCGGGAAGAACACCUAUGGCGAAGGCAGCUCUCUGGGACGGUACUGACGCUGAGACGCGAAAGCGUGGGGAGCGAACGGG
This 253-nucleotide ribosomal RNA is filed under the name uncultured bacterium. Its description in RNAcentral is "partial 16S ribosomal RNA". It matches the Rfam family "Bacterial small subunit ribosomal RNA", at positions 524 to 776 of the family's 1533-position model. The record is from RNAcentral.